GGGUUCAUGGCGCAGUGGCAGCACACUCGCUUCGCAUGCGAGAGGCCAGGAGUUCAAUCCUCCUUGGAUUCA
This is a non-coding RNA of Ramularia collo-cygni, 72 nucleotides long. The record is from the annotation of a RefSeq genome assembly. NCBI's taxonomy places the organism in Eukaryota, Fungi, Ascomycota, Dothideomycetes, Mycosphaerellales, Mycosphaerellaceae.